GAUGAAGAACGUAGCGAAAUGCGAUAAGUAGUGUGAAUUGCAGAAUUCAGUGAAUCAUCGAAUCUUUGAACGCACAUUGCGCCCCUCGGUAUUCCGGGGGGCAUACCUGUUCGAGCGUCAUUUAACCCCUCAAGCCUAGCUUGGUAUUGGGUGCUUGUCCCGCCUCUCGCGCGGCGACUCACCUCAAAGUCAUUGGCAGCCCGCAUCUCGCCGGCCGUGAGCGCAGCACAGACGCGCUCUUGGCAACGACGGAUCGGCUCUCCAAAAGCUUAUUUCAACCACUGACCUCGGAUCAGGUAGGGAUACCCGCUGAACUUAAGCAUAUCAAUAAGCGGAGGA
RNAcentral lists this unclassified non-coding RNA (339 nucleotides) under soil metagenome. RNAcentral describes it as "partial contains 5.8S ribosomal RNA, internal transcribed spacer 2, and large subunit ribosomal RNA". The stretch from base 1 to 120 matches the Rfam family "5.8S ribosomal RNA", at positions 35 to 154 of the family's 154-position model. The record is from RNAcentral.